This 372-nucleotide ribosomal RNA is filed under the name uncultured bacterium. RNAcentral describes it as "bacterial SSU rRNA". It matches the Rfam family "Bacterial small subunit ribosomal RNA", at positions 509 to 881 of the family's 1533-position model. The record is from RNAcentral.
CAGCAGCCGGGUAAUACGUAGGGGGCAAGCGUUAUCCGGAUUUACUGGGUUUAAAGGGAGCGUAGACGGCAUGGCAAGCCAGAUGUGAAAGCCCGGGGCUCAACCCCGGGACUGCAUUUGGAACUGUCAGGCUAGAGUGUCGGAGAGGAAAGCGGAAUUCCUAGUGUAGCGGUGAAAUGCGUAGAUAUUAGGAGGAACACCAGUGGCGAAGGCGGCUUUCUGGACGAUGACUGACGUUGAGGCUCGAAAGCGUGGGGAGCAAACAGGAUUAGAUACCCUGGUAGUCCACGCUGUAAACGAUGAAUACUAGGUGUCGGGUGGCAAAGCCAUUCGGUGCCGCAGCAAACGCAAUAAGUAUUCCACCUGGGGAGU